AACGAACUCGAAGAAACUUUCUUCAUGCUGAUGCUGAGGGGCAGAGAGAUAACAAAGGUCAGUUUGGGAGCAAUUGUGGGAAAAAUGUCUUCGUAAUAGAUGCAUUUUCUUUGACUUUGCUUUGAAACGUUUCUAUUCAGAAGGACAUAAUCAUGGACAAGAUGAAGAAUUCUCACGUGGAGAACCACAAAAUGAUCAAGGUAUAUUUGAAAAGAAAGAGACCGAAAAAAUGAGCAAAAGGCCUCUUGUUUAAUUUUGAAUUACCUUAGUUGCAAUUUUGUUACUUUUAUUAUCUUAAAGUAAAACAACCAAACAAAAAUUGUAUUUUAAAAAUGGAGGCUGUGUGUUGGGUUGCAGAGUCUACAGGCUGAGCUGAGGAGGUUACUGGAUCACUCACAACAACUUCUUCUGAGGUACGACAGACACUGCAUUACACCCCAUGGAGACUUCUACGUUGAUCCUCCAAACCAGCGAUCUUUGCAGAGGGAGCUGCAGGACACACUGCAGGUUAGCACGGCUUGUUUUCUCUCAAAUAUCUUUGUUCUCACGUUCAUGGUCUUCCACUUCCUUCAUCUCUAGCUCCAUCGCUCAGUUCUAGAUGACAGAAGCGCGCCAUCUCUCCAGGCGCACGACGAUGGCUUUCAGAACCCCAUCCGCCAGAUCCAUAGAGAAGGACCAGUGUGUGCUCACAACUGCAGAUGUCCUGAGAGGGUGAAAAGAGAGAGCAUUAGGAGUGGAGAAUGAUGAUGAUUGCAUAGGGUGAUGUGUGUGAAUGGACAUGUCUACACUUUCACACACAGGAUUCAGCAGCCGUGGAGGCGAGGCCUUUUCUUCAGUGCCACCAGUCACAGGCAAACAUCAAACAGCAGCUUGUCAGCGCGCUGCAGGGGCUGCACAAGCGUGCGUGGGAGGAGAAAGGGGAGAAGGUGGAUGAGACCCUGAGCAUUUGUGAGAGGGAGCAAAAGCAAAUCCAGCCUGAGAUUCAGAGUCGGAUCCAAGAGGACAAGGAGGUGGCUGCAGUACACUGGUGCAGACUCCAGAAGGUGGAGAGGAAGGAAGCCGAGGAAACAAAGUCCAUCGAGGAGCGGCGUGAGGCAAAAGCAAGGCUCUUGCAAUCUGAGCAGAUCGUCAGUGAUACAGGAGAGGACUGUCACCUGGGAACCCCUCACAGAUCUGGACCAGAGUGUAGUGAGCAAAAGAACUCCAGCAGAUCUCAGGGCAAACAGGGGAAAAACCCAAAGAGACAAGAAGCAAGUCUGGCAGUGGAGAAGGUGGUAAAGGAUCAGAGGGUAGAGCCCCUGGAGAUCCCAACCUCAGAGCGAGAACAAUCGCAGAUGCAGGAGGCCACAGACAGCUUCUUGGCUACGCUCAAGAGGAUGGAGGUGAUGGUCAGCAGCGCUUUGGAGACAGCUGAGCUGGUGCGACAAGGUGAGCAGAGGGUGAGCCAGGUAAGGCAGAAGAUGGAAAGCAUCACACAGAGAGUCCAGGAGGCUGUGGGCCAAGCAGCCAGUACUGACAAGGAGCUGAAAACGCUGGAGGCCUGGGUCAAUGAAAAGAUUCCCACUCAGGUCUGCUUCUUGAAAAACUGCACUUGUUUUUAUGUUUAUUCAACUUAA
RNAcentral lists this long non-coding RNA (1616 nucleotides) under Oryzias sinensis (Chinese medaka). RNAcentral describes it as "lncRNA (ENSOSIG00000011615.1)". The record is from RNAcentral. Lineage: Eukaryota; Metazoa; Chordata; Actinopteri; Beloniformes; Adrianichthyidae.